RNAcentral lists this ribosomal RNA (253 nucleotides) under uncultured bacterium. Its description in RNAcentral is "partial 16S ribosomal RNA". It matches the Rfam family "Bacterial small subunit ribosomal RNA", at positions 524 to 776 of the family's 1533-position model. The record is from RNAcentral.
UACGUAGGGUGCGAGCGUUAAUCGGAAUUACUGGGCGUAAAGUGUGCGCAGGCGGCCGCGCAAGUCGAGUGUGAAAGCCCCGGGCUCAACCUGGGAAUUGCAUUCGAGACUGAAUAGCUAGGGUACGGUAGAGGGAAGCGGAAUUUCCGGUGUAGCGGUGAAAUGCGUAGAUAUCGGAAGGAACAUCAGUGGCGAAAGCGGCUUCCUGGACCAGUACCGACGUUCAGGCACGAAAGCGUGGGGAGCAAACAGG